GCGGGCGUGGCGGAAUGGCAGACGCGCAUGUUUAAGGGGCAUGUUCGAAAGAGUGUGGGUUCGACCCCCACCGCCCGCACCA
This 82-nucleotide transfer RNA is filed under the name Candidatus Caccovivens faecavium. Its description in RNAcentral is "tRNA-Leu". It matches the Rfam family "tRNA". From Rfam's summary of the family: Transfer RNA (tRNA) molecules are approximately 80 nucleotides in length. Lineage: Bacteria; Bacillati; Bacillota; Clostridia; Eubacteriales. The record is from RNAcentral.